Molecule: ribosomal RNA, 274 nt
Filed under: uncultured bacterium
Lineage: Bacteria
Description: partial 16S ribosomal RNA
Rfam family: Bacterial small subunit ribosomal RNA
Source: RNAcentral
AUACGGAGGGUGCAAGCGUUACUGGGAAUCACUGGGCGUAAAGCGCGCGCAGGCGGUCUUUUAAGUUGGAUGUGAAAGCCUACGGCUCAACCGUAGAACUGCAUCCAAAACUAUUAGACUAGAGUGUGGGAGAGGAAGAUGGAAUUAGUUGUGUAGGGGUAAAAUCCGUAGAGAUAACUAGGAAUACCAAAAGCGAAGGCAAUCUUCUGGAACACUACUGACGCUGAGGCGCGAAAGCGUGGGGAGCAAACAGGAUUAGAUACCCUAGUAGUCC